GCAGGCGGCGCGACGUUACCUCUAUCGACGACUGUUCUCCUUUACCGGCCACAGUGAUUUCGAUCUUGCACUGACUGAGCCGAGCUGCCGCAUGUCGUGGGCAGUGACACAACUAGGAGACUUCACAUGGCCACUGGCACAGUGAAAUGGUUCAACGCAACCAAAGGUUUUGGCUUCAUUCAACCCGAUGGCGGUUCCAAGGAUGUGUUCGUGCACAUCUCUGCCGUUGAGCGCGCUGGUUUGCGCGGUCUGGACGAUGGUCAGAAAGUGACCUUCGAUCUGGAAAAAGGUCGUGAUGGCCGCGAAUCUGCGUCCAAUCUGGCUCUGUCCUGAUUUGACCGCCUGAUUAUCAGGCAUGAAUGCUGAAAGCCGCCCAUUUUUUGGGCGGCUUUUGUU
This 396-nucleotide unclassified non-coding RNA is filed under the name Roseinatronobacter ekhonensis. RNAcentral's name for it is "Roseibaca ekhonensis cspA". The record is from RNAcentral. Lineage: Bacteria; Pseudomonadati; Pseudomonadota; Alphaproteobacteria; Rhodobacterales; Paracoccaceae.